GACGAACGCUGGCGGCGUGCUUAACACAUGCAAGUCGAACGGCAAGGCCCUGCUUUUGUGGGGUGCUCGAGUGGCGAACGGGUGAGUAACACGUGAGUAACCUGCCCUUGACUUUGGGAUAACUUCAGGAAACUGGGGCUAAUACCGGAUAGGAGCUCCUGCUGCAUGGUGGGGGUUGGAACGUUUCGGCGGUUGGGGAUGGACUCGCGGCUUAUCAGCUUGUUGGUGGGGUAGUGGCUUACCAAGGCUUUGACGGGUAGCCGGCCUGAGAGGGUGACCGGCCACAUUGGGACUGAGAUACGGCCCAGACUCCUACGGGAGGCAGCAGUGGGGAAUAUGGCACAAUGGGCGGAAGCCUGAUGCAGCAACGCCGCGUGCGGGAUGACGGCCUUCGGGUUGUAAACCGCUUUCGCCUGUGACGAAGCGUGAGUGACGGUAAUGGGGAAAGAAGCACCGGCUAACUACGU
RNAcentral lists this ribosomal RNA (467 nucleotides) under uncultured bacterium. Its description in RNAcentral is "partial 16S ribosomal RNA". It matches the Rfam family "Bacterial small subunit ribosomal RNA", at positions 28 to 506 of the family's 1533-position model. The record is from RNAcentral.